RNAcentral lists this ribosomal RNA (301 nucleotides) under uncultured bacterium. RNAcentral describes it as "partial 16S ribosomal RNA". It matches the Rfam family "Bacterial small subunit ribosomal RNA", at positions 509 to 808 of the family's 1533-position model. The record is from RNAcentral.
CAGUCGCCGCGGUAAUACGAAGGGGGCUAGCGUUGCUCGGAAUCACUGGGCGUAAAGGGUGCGUAGGCGGGUCUUUAAGUCAGGGGUGAAAUCCUGGAGCUCAACUCCAGAACUGCCUUUGAUACUGAAGAUCUUGAGUUCGGAAGAGGUGAGUGGAACUGCGAGUGUAGAGGUGAAAUUCGUAGAUAUUCGCAAGAACACCAGUGGCGAAGGCGGCUCACUGGCCCGAUACUGACGCUGAGGCACGAAAGCGUGGGAGCAAACAGGAUUAGAUACCCGUGUAGUCCCUGUCUCUUAUACA